RNAcentral lists this ribosomal RNA (453 nucleotides) under uncultured bacterium. Its description in RNAcentral is "partial 16S ribosomal RNA". It matches the Rfam family "Bacterial small subunit ribosomal RNA", at positions 341 to 792 of the family's 1533-position model. The record is from RNAcentral.
ACGGAAGGCAGCAGUGAGGAAUAUUGGUCAAUGGGCGGAAGCCUGAACCAGCCAAGUCGCGUGAAGGAUGAAGGUAUUAUGUAUUGUAAACUUCUUUAGACGUAGAGAAAUAAGGGGAUCGUGAUCCCUGAUGCUAGUAUACGUAGAAUAAGGAUCGGCUAACUCCGUGCCAGCAGCCGCGGUAAUACGGAGGAUCCGAGCGUUAUCCGGAUUUAUUGGGUUUAAAGGGUGCGCAGGCGGCUUUUUAAGUCAGUGGUUAAAUCGUGGAGCUUAACUCCAUCCCGCCAUUGAUACUGGAGAGCUUGAUUGCGGUUGAGGUUGGCGGAAUUCGCCGUGCAGCGGUGAAAUGCAUAGAUAUGGCGAAGAACUCCGAUUGCGUAGGCAGCUUACCAGACCGACAAUGACGCUCAUGCACGAAAGUGCGGGGAUCGAACAGGAUUAGAUACCCUGGUA